AUCCAGCUGACGAGUCUCAAAAAGGACGAAACGUGCGCCCUAGAU
Molecule: non-coding RNA, 45 nt
Organism: Schistosoma haematobium
Lineage: Eukaryota; Metazoa; Platyhelminthes; Trematoda; Strigeidida; Schistosomatidae
Source: Rfam